CCUAACAUGUCGUUGGUUUUACCAUAUCAGUUUGAGCCCGAGUCAGAUUCAGAAAAUGCGGAUGAUCGAGAGGAACCAACUUUGCAAACAUGACUUGACUUCACAGUGAUACCAGCUAUUCAUCAGAAACAACAACAACAAAAUGAUUGAUAUCCCCCCCCAAGCAAGCAAACCCGUGACCCAGAAAUGCUAUGUCAGCCAUCUUGAAGGACAUAUGAAUUCGCUAAUUGCACCACGAGGAGGUGAGGAGCGAGAGCUUCAGAGGAGCUAGGAGCGAUACACAGGUGUAUCCUAUGCAAAAGUGUUUCUUGCUGAAAAACCUGAUGCACGUAUAAAUUCCCCUCCUGCUUUACAUCUGCCACAAUCUCAAACAAAAGGUCCUUUGAUGAUGUGAUGUAUGCUUACACAAUGAAGCAGUGGGCUCUGUGGCAAGAUUUCCCAGUGUGAAUGUAUGGUAUAUUUUUUAAAGCAAAUGGUAUAUGUUAAAGAAAUCACUGAAUAAAUCAGUAUGUUAAUGGUAUAUAUUAAAUAAAUCAUUGAAUAGAUCAGUAUGUUAAGGUUAAGCAAUCAAAAGUAAGAUCCAAUCAUGUGUAAUAUAUAAGAUCAUAAGAGAGAAUUUGUUUAUCAAAGAAGCUAAAAUCAUUGAGCGCCCAUUCUUCAGUUAUAAAUGUAUCUUUUCUAGUAGGCUUGCUCUGUUAUUUCUCAGAAAAAUCACCUGCACCUGUAUAAAAACAGUUUGUACUCUGUCUUUUUAAGUCUGUAUCUUUGAAGACAAUGCAUUUCUACUCUUUCUUUUUAAGUUACCAGUUUGAUGUAAAGUGAUUUCUUAAGAUGUGUUGUUAAAAUCCAUGAUGUAAGUCAAUAAAAUAAAAGCUUCUUAGAAAAUAAACUGAUUGAACUAACGUCACUAUUAUAGAUAAGAUCUGAAGAAAGAAACAUAAUUGCUGUCAGAAGUGUGAUCAAGAAAAUAUGGGAAAACCCCCACCUAAUGAGAUCAUUGUUUAAGUAUUGUAUAAAAGCAUGAACAUUGAUUGUACUUAUCAGAUGAUCUGUAGACUUUUAUGAUUCUUUAAUAAAAGUCUGAUUUUUGGCAUUAAACCCCUUGACUCUGAGAGAUUUUUACUUUGGCUAAGGUGAUUUUCCAGACAAAUGCUGUGGAAAACCCCUUCUGAAUGCAAUGCCACCUUGGAGGUAG
This is a long non-coding RNA of Ictalurus punctatus (channel catfish), 1195 nucleotides long. Lineage: Eukaryota; Metazoa; Chordata; Actinopteri; Siluriformes; Ictaluridae. The record is from Ensembl.